CGCACAUUGCGCCCCUUGGUAUUCCAUGGGGCAUGCCUGUUCGAGCGUCAUUUGAACCUUCAAGCAUUGCUUGGUGAUGGGUGUUUGUCGUGUAUCGACUCGCCUUAAAGAAAUUGGUAGCCGUCUAUUCAAAUAGAAGCGCAGCACAUUGCAUUUCUACUUCAACAGAUGUCAUCCACAAACCUCUCUCUUUGACCUCGGAUCAGGUAGGGAUACCCGCUGAACUUAA
Molecule: unclassified non-coding RNA, 229 nt
Filed under: fungal sp.
Lineage: Eukaryota; Fungi
Description: partial contains 5.8S ribosomal RNA, internal transcribed spacer 2, and large subunit ribosomal RNA
Source: RNAcentral